This 301-nucleotide ribosomal RNA is filed under the name uncultured bacterium. Its description in RNAcentral is "partial 16S ribosomal RNA". It matches the Rfam family "Bacterial small subunit ribosomal RNA", at positions 509 to 807 of the family's 1533-position model. The record is from RNAcentral.
CAGUCGCCGCGGUAAUACGUAGGGCGCAAGCGUUAUCCGGAAUUAUUGGGCGUAAAGAGCUCGUAGGCGGUUUGUCGCGUCUGCCGUGAAAGUCCGGGGCUCAACCCCGGAUCUGCGGUGGGUACGGGCAGACUAGAGUGAUGUAGGGGAGACUGGAAUUCCUGGUGUAGCGGUGAAAUGCGCAGAUAUCAGGAGGAACACCGAUGGCGAAGGCAGGUCUCUGGGUAUUUACUGACGCUGAGGAGCGAAAGCAUGGGGAGCGAACAGGAUUAGAUACCCCGGUAGUCCCUGUCUCUUAUAC